GCCAAAGCAAGCAUGACCAAGACACAAGGGUGUGGAGAAAGAUUUAACACCUGCAAGAUCACUCCUCCAUCUGGGAGAUGCCAGUCACACGGCUGGGAUGGCACUCCAGAAGUUCUAUGGAAAGACCCAAGAAGCUAGGAUCCCUGCCGUGUGGGAUGCCUCUCUGGACUGGAAAAGCUGGUCUCUCAGGCCCCCAUCAGCUCCAUGACUCAGAAGACCUGCAUUUGCCUUUGAGCGGUCCAGCGUUGAAACUGAUCCAGGAUGCUACAAGGGUUCUGACCGUUGUCUUUAUUUAUACAGCCUUAUCUCUGAUUACCUUUAAAAAACAGAAACAAUGGUUUUGAUUAAGAGGGUAAAAAUAUUGUAAAUUAAGACAAAAAU
Molecule: non-coding RNA, 381 nt
Organism: Mus caroli (Ryukyu mouse)
Lineage: Eukaryota; Metazoa; Chordata; Mammalia; Rodentia; Muridae
Source: RefSeq, a predicted model, not a curated record